This is an RNA transcript of Loxodonta africana (African savanna elephant), 2313 nucleotides long. It is a transcript of the gene named fuzzy planar cell polarity protein, with no coding region annotated. The record is from RefSeq and is a predicted model, not a curated record. Lineage: Eukaryota; Metazoa; Chordata; Mammalia; Proboscidea; Elephantidae. The transcript is spliced from 11 exons.
GUACGGCCAUCUUUGAUUAGGGCACACCUGUUUACAGCUUUAGAAAUGAAAUUGGGCUAAAUCGUGGUUGCUAGGCAACGUAUUUUACUGUCGCCAUCUUUGAAAGGGGUAUUGUAUUGGCCGCCGUAAAAUGAAAAAGGCACACGGAAUGUGGUUGCUAGGCAACGCCUUGCCACUGUCGCCAUCUUUGAGCCGGGAACAGCUGUUUACUAAUUUAGAAUAAAAAUCAUUAUAGCCUACAUGACGGUUGCUACUCAACGCCUUGGGACUGUCUUUGCUUCGAACUGGGCUCUCCGUUUUCUUUGCUAAAUAAAUAGAGUCAGACCACUUCAGGGAGAGAUUACGAAACUUUGCGAGCGCAAUUAGCGGCCUUCUUUGUUAGGGGCAUCAUGACUUCCGGCUGGGGCGGAAAGGAACUUAACGGGGUUUGGGGGAGGUGGUGGAAUAGUGGUUGAGGAUCUGCUUGAGUUGGAUGAGGAAGGCCGAGAUUUAGUCCUUUUCCUACUAGCUCUCCAUCUUGCCUUCUGGCGGCUUGGAACGGCCGGCCGACUUAAUGUGACUACCGACAGGCUCCACGGCGUGCCCUGACCGUUCCCUCGUAGAGGACUGGGGGGGUUCCAAAUGGGGGAGGAGGGGACGGGAGGCACCGUGCAUCUAUUAUGCCUCGCGUCCUCUAGCGGGGUCCCCCUGUUCUGCAGGAGCAGCCGCGGCGGCGUCCCCACCCGCCAGCAGCUCCCGUUCUCUGUCAUCGGCUCCCUCAAUGGAGUCCACAUGUUCGGACAGAAUCUGGAGGUGCAGCUGAGCUCUGCAAGGACUGAGGACACGACCGUGGUGUGGAAAAGCUUCCAUGACAGCAUCACCCUCAUUGUUCUGUCAUCUGAGGAGAGCAGCUCAGAACUGCAGUUGGAGAGACUACUCGAGAUGGUGUUUGGGGCUAUGGUUCUUCUUGUGGGACUUGAAGAACUGACCGACAUCCGCAACAUAGAGAGACUAAAGAAGGAGUUGAGGGCCAGUUACCGCAUCAUUGACAGCUUCCUGGCGGACUCUGAGCUCAUUGGGGACCUGACCCAGUGUGUGGACUGCGUGGUCUCUCCGGAGGGGUCCCUCCUGCAGGAAGCCCUCUCCGGGUUCGCCGAGGCCACCAGCACAGCCUUCGUCAGCCUGGUGGUGUCGGGCCGGGUGGUGGCAGCCACAGAGGGCUGGUGGAGGCUGGGGAUGCCCGAGGCCGUGUUGCUCCCCUGGCUGCUGGGAUCUCUGCCGCCGCAGACCGCUCGUGACUACCCGGUGUACCUGCCCCACGGGAGCCCCACGGUCCCGCACAGGCUCCUGACCCUGACGCUGCUGCCGGGCCUGGAGCUGUGUCUGCUCUGCGGGCCGCGACCGCCCCUCAGCCAGCUGGAUCCACAGGUCCUGGAGCGUUGGUGGCAGCCGCUGCUUGAGCCGCUUAGGGCCUGCGUGCCACUGGGACACCGUGCGCUGCCUGCAGGCUUCUCCCUGCACACGGACAUCCUCGGGCUGCUGCUUCUCCACCUGGAACUGAGACGUUGCCUGUUCACGGUGGAGCUCUCAGGGGACAAAGAGCCUCCCCUGGAUCAACGGCGGCGCCUCCUCCGCUCCUUCUACACCCUGGUCACUUCUAUGCACUUCCCACCAGGUCAGCCGUGGGCAGUGUCCAAUCUCACAGGCAGGAGCCCUGAGCCCCAGGUCGCACAGUGGGGCAGUGAGGGCUGGGUUAGAGAAUCUGGUUGGAGAAACCAGUACGUACUGGGAGUAGCAUUCCUGGAGUCCUCAGUGUUGACUGAGCCUGCAGGUUUCAAAACCUGCUGGAUAACCCUAACAGUUACCAGUGAAGCCUCAUCUGCUAGUCACUGACCCAAGUGCUCUCGUAGGUAAUGACUCAUUUUCUCCCCACAUUCCAGAUGAAGAAACUGAGGCUCGGCUAGUAAGGAGCAGAACCACGAUUCAAAUAAAGGUGGUCUGGCUCCCAAGACUGCAUUAAACCACUCCACUCUAUGGCUUAAAGCACAAGCUUUGCCUAUGGUUUUCAGGGGGAGAGUGACAUGGAGCCCAAGUUAGGAAGAGUUGUAGAAUCCCUGAGACCUCAGUUCUUCUUGUUAAUCUCAUGGUAACUGGGCCCAGGAAGACAAGCAAGGACCUAAAUGAUGCUAUAACCCCAGGGAAGACACCGAUGAAUAGGGCAAAAUGAGCCAGGGCCGCCGGAGGAGAAGGCAGAGGACUUAGUCCAGCGGACCCAGCUACCUCGAGCCUGCUACCUGGUGUCGGGGCCUGAGGAGCCAGACACAGGGUGGCGGC